ACCUUCAACUGUUUAAACUGGUGUAAUUUGACUCGUUUGAUGGUUUUGGAGGACGGUUUCUCUAAGAUGGCGGUGUUGACCUGGUCGAGGGCCGGCGACAAGCUCCCAACCCUCACAUCCCCCUCCUCUGAGGCUGCGCCGCAGCCCGCGUCCGUCGUCACCGUCAUGGAGGAGGAAGAAGGACCGCGUCCAGCGACAACGCCGUUGCCUCCCCCACCCGCGUCGCUCCUCCCGCCUUCAACACCGCAGCAGUAGGAGCAGAAGAAGCCGGCGGCGACCAUAAUCUACCGCCCUCGUCAACGUCUUCUCCACCUUCGUCGCCAUCAUGACUACCGACAAGGUCGGCCGCUGCGCCCUCUUCCUCCAAGGCGACACCAAAAUGAUCAUCUUCCAAGCAAGCAAUCAUUUCAGCAAACACCUCACGCCAUUUCUCACCAUUGACCUUGAUUUUCUUGAUUUAAUCUCGUUCUGUCAUCGAUUGGAACUAACCAAAUAUCCCAUUUCUUGAUAGGAUUUGCAAAUCUUGGUAGGACGUUCAUUGGAUUGCAGUUUGGGCUGAGCGGGAUGGGGGCAAUCUCGAAGUAGUACAUGAACGAGGCGGAGCUCCUGAGGACAGCCAUCAAGUCCAUAUCGGCGGCGCCGGUGACGCUCGAGAGAGCAACAAGUCACGGCCCUUCAGCCACGACUUGGAGAAAGGCCCUCGCCCCCCAGCUGGAUCUAGCCCCAGCUCCCCGCGUAUGUCUGAAGGGGAAGAGAAAGUGGGAGAGAGAGAAGGGAGAGAGGAGGAGGAAGGGGAGGAGAGAGGAUAACAUGUGGGCCCUACAUGUCAAUGGGACCCUAAAAAUAAAUGACAAGUGGGUCCCGUAUAUAUAUUUUUUAAAUUCUAAA
Non-coding RNA from Oryza sativa Japonica Group (Japanese rice), 888 nucleotides. Lineage: Eukaryota; Viridiplantae; Streptophyta; Magnoliopsida; Poales; Poaceae. The record is from RefSeq and is a predicted model, not a curated record.